AAGGAAACUGGACGACCUUCGGGAGCUUGUACAGGUGCUGCAUGGCUGUCGUCAGCUCGUGUCGUGAGAUGUUCGGUUAAGUCCGCUAACGAGCGCAACCCUCGCUGUGUGUUACAAGUGUCACACGGAACUGCCGGUCAUAAACCGGAGGAAGGUGGGGAUGACGUCAAGUCAGCAUGGCCUUUAUAUCCUGGGCUACACACACGCUACAAUGGGAAGGGACAAUAGGUUGCGAAGCCGCGAGGCGGAGCCAAUCCAAGCAAAACUUCCCUCAGUUCAGAUUGCAGGCUGCAACUCGCCUGCAUGAAGUUGGAGUUGCUAGUAAACGCAGGUCAGCCAUACUGCGUUGAAUACGUUCCCGGGGCUU
RNAcentral lists this ribosomal RNA (367 nucleotides) under uncultured Anaerolineaceae bacterium. RNAcentral's name for it is "bacterial SSU rRNA". It matches the Rfam family "Bacterial small subunit ribosomal RNA", at positions 1000 to 1382 of the family's 1533-position model. Lineage: Bacteria; Bacillati; Chloroflexota; Anaerolineae; Anaerolineales; Anaerolineaceae. The record is from RNAcentral.